Molecule: transfer RNA, 92 nt
Filed under: Oceanimonas sp. MB9
Lineage: Bacteria; Pseudomonadati; Pseudomonadota; Gammaproteobacteria; Aeromonadales; Aeromonadaceae
Description: tRNA-Ala
Source: RNAcentral
CUGGCCAUGGUGGUGAAGGCCACCACGGCGUUUUGCAGACGCCCCGGUACUUGGCGCAGGGCCGCCGUUCCCAGGGUGGCGAUGGCCAGGCC